ACUCCUACGGGAGGCAGCAGUGGGGAAUAUUGCACAAUGGGCGCAAGCCUGAUGCAGCCAUGCCGCGUGUAUGAAGAAGGCCUUCGGGUUGUAAAGUACUUUCAGCAGUGAGGAAGGUGGUGUCGUUAAUAGCGGCAUCAUUUGACGUUAGCUGCAGAAGAAGCACCGGCUAACUCCGUGCCAGCAGCCGCGGUAAUACGGAGGGUGCGAGCGUUAAUCGGAAUUACUGGGCGUAAAGCGCAUGCAGGUGGUUUGUUAAGUCAGAUGUGAAAGCCCGGGGCUCAACCUCGGAAUUGCAUUUGAAACUGGCAGACUAGAGUACUGUAGAGGGGGGUAGAAUUUCAGGUGUAGCGGUGAAAUGCGUAGAGAUCUGAAGGAAUACCGGUGCGAAGGCGGCCCCCUGGACAGAUACUGACACUCAGAUGCGAAAGCGUGGGGAGCAAACAGGAUUAGAUACCCUGGUAGGAUAGCG
RNAcentral lists this ribosomal RNA (472 nucleotides) under uncultured bacterium. RNAcentral describes it as "bacterial SSU rRNA". It matches the Rfam family "Bacterial small subunit ribosomal RNA", at positions 335 to 799 of the family's 1533-position model. The record is from RNAcentral.